RNAcentral lists this ribosomal RNA (492 nucleotides) under uncultured bacterium. RNAcentral's name for it is "partial 16S ribosomal RNA". It matches the Rfam family "Bacterial small subunit ribosomal RNA", at positions 29 to 507 of the family's 1533-position model. The record is from RNAcentral.
AGUGAACGCUGGCGGUAGGCCUAACACAUGCAAGUCGAACGGCAGCACAGUAAGAGCUUGCUCUUACGGGUGGCGAGUGGCGGACGGGUGAGGAAUACAUCGGAAUCUACUUUUUCGUGGGGGAUAACGUAGGGAAACUUACGCUAAUACCGCAUACGACCUACGGGUGAAAGCAGGGGAUCUUCGGACCUUGCGCGAUUGAAUGAGCCGAUGUUGGAUUAGCUAGUUGGCGGGGUAAAGGCCCACCAAGGCGACGAUCCGUAGCUGGUCUGAGAGGAUGAUCAGCCACACUGGAACUGAGACACGGUCCAGACUCCUACGGGAGGCAGCAGAGGGGAAUAUUGGACAAUGGGCGCAAGCCUGAUCCAGCCAUACCGCGUGGGUGAAGAAGGCCUUCGGGUUGUAAAGCCCUUUUGUUGGGAAAGAAAAGCAGCAGGUUAAUACCCCGCUGUUCUGACGGUACCCAAAGAAUAAGCACCGGCUAACUUCGUG